UACGUAGGGUGCAAGCGUUACUCGGAAUUACUGGGCGUAAAGCGUGCGCAGGCGGUUUUCUAAGGCUGACGUGAAAGCCCCGGGCUUAACCUGGGAAUUGCGUUGGAGACUGCAAGGCUUGAAUCUGGCAGAGGGGGGUAGAAUUCCACGUGUAGCAGUGAAUGCGUAGAGAUGUGGAGGAACACCGAUGGCGAAGGCAGCGACCUGGGACAAGAUUGACGCUCAUGCACGAAAGCGUGGGGAGCAAACAGG
RNAcentral lists this ribosomal RNA (252 nucleotides) under uncultured bacterium. Its description in RNAcentral is "partial 16S ribosomal RNA". It matches the Rfam family "Bacterial small subunit ribosomal RNA", at positions 524 to 776 of the family's 1533-position model. The record is from RNAcentral.